Molecule: non-coding RNA, 24 nt
Filed under: Arabidopsis thaliana (thale cress)
Lineage: Eukaryota; Viridiplantae; Streptophyta; Magnoliopsida; Brassicales; Brassicaceae
Source: RNAcentral
UAGAAGCGACGCAUGCGCCCGCCG